UACAGAGGUGGCAAGCGUUGUUCGGAAUUACUGGGCGUAAAGGGCGCGUAGGCGGCCUUCUAAGUCAGACGUGAAAUCCCCAGGCUUAACCUGGGAACUGCAUCCGAUACUGGAUGGCUUGAAUCCGGGAGAGGGAUGCAGAAUUCCAGGUGUAGCGGUGAAAUGCGUAGAUAUCUGGAGGAAUACCGGUGGCGAAGGCGGCAUCCUGGACCGGCAUUGACGCUGAUGAGCGAAAGCUAGGGGAGCAAACGGG
This 253-nucleotide ribosomal RNA is filed under the name uncultured bacterium. RNAcentral describes it as "partial 16S ribosomal RNA". It matches the Rfam family "Bacterial small subunit ribosomal RNA", at positions 524 to 776 of the family's 1533-position model. The record is from RNAcentral.